UCCAGUUUUUAAAACGUCUGAUUUAGAAAGAGAGGAAAAAAAAAAAAAAAAACGCCGUGAAGUGCAACCCGGUGGAGGGGAAAGGCCCGCGGGAUUGUGGGUAAAUGUUUUUUGCCGUUUGGAUACUGCCGAGCGCAGCAGAAAGGCAUUUCUGACGGAGGGAGCACACGGGAAUAUCACGUUUAUUUGCUGGUGAAUUCUUUGUGGAGGGCCGGACUUGUUCUUUGAGGAAGAAGCCGGUGAGUCACGUUGGCCGAGGUCAAAGAGUCACCUGCAGCCUCACCUGAAAGCCUUUACCUGACCCCCCCCCCGCCCCCACUCACCCCGCCUCCCCGCGUCCCGUCCGUCUCUCCUUCCGACGCCACUCAGCCGUUACGUUCUCAAGGGAAGGGCAGACUGCUGGCGCCGCUCUGUUUGGGCUGUACCUUCACACGCACACACACACACACACACACACACACACACACAGGGACACACACACACACACACCUCGGCAGGUACUCACACAGCGAAUGAAGCGCACUGUUGCGUUGCCUCCGACGUUGCGGGGGUGAAGAGUCAUCCGGGGGUCUGGUGGGAGGAGCAGGUGGAGGUUUGGGCCACCAGGAGGAGACGUUGAAGUUCGUCCCUCUGGGGAGAAGUUCAGCUUUGUCCACCUUGGUCUCCUGCAGGUGUCCAGAGGUGUUUCAUUAGAAAGUUGUGGACUCUGUGAACUAAAGGUCUUCCUAUGAGCUCCUGCAGGUCCUGUGAACUCCUACAGGUCCUGUGAACUCCUGCAGGUCCUGUGAGCUCCUGCAGGUCCUGUGAACUCCUGCAGGUCCUGUGAGCUCCUCCCGUGUGAAUCGGACACUCGUCUGGUGUCGAAGUGGUUCAGCAGAUUGAAACAGAAAGGAGAAAAGUGGUUUGCAAAGAGGAUAAAUAUUCGGCACGUCCGGCCACUGAGUGUUUUUGUGGUCCGUGAAGCUUAUUUGACUUUUGACAGUAGGUUUAAAGUACGAUAUUGAGUUGAGGCAACGCAGGAUUAUUUUUCCAGCCUAAUUUGAAGCAGCGAGUCUCUCUCUCCGUCUUCGUCUAAUCCGCCGUCAUCUCGAUCAGAGGCAGACACCCGGGUCAGGUCCAAAUUAAACAAAUAAACGCCCGCGCUUUGGAUAACAUUCCCCUCCGAUUGACCCGACCCCGUGACCCCUGAGUCACUGCGGCCGGGGUCGUGACCCCCCGCGGUGGCGUUGGCUCUCGGCGUCUGAGGGGCCUCAGCGAAACGAAAACACACAGAAGAGCGUUCGGCUACUUAAACACACUGCAAAUAAUUUGACAGGUAAAUCAGGCAAAUGAACCCGCGUGGCGGACUGCGUGGGCGCGCGUGCGGCGGCGUGAAGGCGUGAGCGUGUCUGAAAUGUUGUAUUUCAGGGUCGAGGACUCGGCGGCCCGCGACGACGCCGGCCGGGAACAGUUCACGACCCGGGCGAGAAAACAAAGCGCCGGUCGUGACCUGCCGCUGUUAAAACAACGCCAGCGGCGGAAUGUGUGAGACAUCCGCGUUCUCUCCUUCGUGUCGCCACAGAAACCAGGAACUACUUUCUGAAAGCCUCCGCCCGCCUCCACCCCACAUCCUCCCGGAUGUAUUGAUAUUUGUAGAUAUUUAUCUGUUUUCUUGAAUGAAUCUGCUUUAUGUAAACUAUGAAGUCACAGUUUUUACAAGUAUUUAAGUAGCGAUUACCUACCAACAAGAGUGGAUUUAAUGAUCUGCAGGUCCAGACUGCAGUGUUAGUGAAGAGCAUUCACUGAAAUGCUGCUAAAAGGUGAAACUUUUCUUUUGAAAGUCAAUAAAUAGGAAAUAUCGACCUGUUUCAGCGACCCAGCGAGCAUGUGAGCCCGGAGUCACUUACCUCUCCCAGAACAAAGCCCAGGUUGGACGCGAUAGGUGGCGAGCGUACGCGUACGUGCCCCCCCCUUUAUCUUGUUUACGUGACGGAUUUUUUCAAACGCUAACAUUUUCUUUAGAUGGCACAGCGGACCUCCGCUCUGAGAUAAGCAUCGAACGCAGACCUAAUUGCCUGAGAUAGAAGCUUAUUAUUCCCAUUAAAACGGGCGUUCGGGGGGCUCGCCCCCCCCCCCCCCCCCCCCCCUGACUCUAUUCUCCACACCGUCUGUUUGAUGUGGAGAUGAAGGGGCGAGAGGCCAGACAAGAACAGUUUGGUGCUGAAAAGUUGUAAAAUGUGGUAACAGUUGGGAUGUAAUGGAAGCGUUCGGGGGUCUCGUCCCCUGAUGUGCUUCGCUAAUGAUUUCGCUGCCCCGGCCGCGCCGAGCGCGCACGUGAGCGCGUGCGCGUCACAGCGUGGCCGUAUUCCGUUUUGACUUCUACGUUCACGUUAAACUAUUUCAUCCCAUUUGGCUUCUCUUAUUGACUCCGUGCUUCUCGCUCCGGUGUGACUCCAACGUGCUUUUCCUCUUCCCGCUUUCCUUUGGUGGGAUUUGAGCGUUUUCCCCCUCGCCGGUCGGCACAGCGCCGGCAUUCCUUCACUGGUUCACUGGCAAUGCUCAAGUGGCUCUCUCUUAACAACCCCCCCCCCCCCCCCUGGCGGGCUUAUCAAUCAGGGACAUAAUCACAGGCCACUUUGAAGUAAUAGUCAAUUGCUACGAGUCCACCGUUUAGCGGAACUGCUUCGACGCAAGUCGGGGCUACGAGUCGGCCACGGGAGAUGUAAAGAUAGGGAGGCCGCGCCGCUUUCAAACGCUCCGUUCGGCCGAAGGUAGCACACGCAUGUUUCUGUUUUGGCGGGGGUUGGGGGGGCUGUCUUUGUGAAGGCCUCAGACAGCAGAGGUGAGGUCGGGGAUUGAGGGUGAGUCGAGUUCACAGGAAGCCGUCACUCUGCCCCCCGCACGCCGCUCGCAGUGACUCACCGUACCUGCGACGGUGAGCCGACGCCGCCCACCAGCGCCCGCCGCCCCCCCUUCGGCGUCCCCGGUGCCCCGGCGUUGGCCCCCGUGUUGAUUGUUUACGGUGCUCCGGGUGGCGCCAGGCCCUUGAAAAAACAGAAGCUGAAAAACACUUUGUUUUGGUGUGCGGGCGGCUCCUGUGGUUUGGUAAUCGGCAUCGCUAUCAGGGGCCCUGAUCGCCUCGCAGAGACGCAGGGGAGGAGGGGAGGGAAGGUAUGUUAUUCCACACGGUACACAAAAGGGAGGGAAACGGGAGAGAAGGAGAUGUGGGCGCUUGGCAGUGUGUCUCGCUCCGUCUCUGCCGACUUCUUGUUCUGCCUGCGUCGAGUUUAGAGACAAUAAUCCCCCCAAUUCUUCCCUGGAACUUCUUAUUUUUGGUCAUAAUAUAAAUACUUUUGGAAAAGUCACUGCUGAGGCAUCAACCAAAAUAAUAAACCCUUUUGAAACCACAAUGUAAUGGUGUUUUCUGUGUUUUUUGUUGGGAAUGUUGUGUUUGGAACGCCGCGUUGGGGAACGCCGCGUUGGGAACAUUGCGUUGGGAACGUCGCGUUGGGAACGUCGCGUUGGAAACGUCGCGUUGGAAACGUCGCGUUGGGGAACGCCGCGUUGGGGAACGCCGCGUUGGGAACGUCGCGUUGGGAACGGCGCGUUGGGAACGGCGCGUUGGGAACGGCGCGUUGGGAACGGCGCGUUGGGGACGUCGCGUUGGGGAACGCCGGGUUGGGAACGUCGCGUUGGGGAACGGUGUGUUGGGAACGGUGUGUUGGGAACGUCGCGUUGGGGAACGUCGCGUUGGGGAACGUCGCGUUGGGGAACGUCGCGUUGGGGAACGUCGCGUUGGGAACGUCGCGUUGGGGAACGCCGCGUUGGGAACGUCGCGUUGGGGAACGGUGUGUUGGGAACGCCGCGUUGGGAACGUUGCGUUGGGAACGUUGCGUUGGGAACGCCGCGUUCGGAACGUCGCGUUGGGGAACGUCGCGUUGGGGAACGUUGCGUUGGGAAACGGUGUGUUGGGAACGUCGCGUUGGGGAACGUCGCGUUGGGAACGUCGCGUUGGGGAACGCCGCGUUCGGAACGUCGCGUUGGGGAACGGUGUGUUGGGAACGCCGCGUUGGGAACGUCGCGUUGGGGAACGUUGCGUUGGGAACGCGGCGUUGGGGAACGCCGCGUUGGGAACGUCGCGUUGGGGAACGGUGUGUUGGGGAAUGUCGUGGUGGGAACGUCUUGGCCCCCCCACCGGCGUACGAGCCGUAUCUCCUGCUCGCAGUAGAAUAUGAGAGGGAUUCGUCGACUUCACACACUCCAACGGAUUCGGCGUGCGCCACAAAAAAGCCCGGUGCGUUGGACUCAGGCGCCAAAGCGGCCCUUUGGCGUCGGCAUGGAGCCACCGAGGAGCCCCGCGCCGCUUUGAGACCACAAGGAACAUCCUCCUCCAUCUCACUCGCGGCUAGAUACCAUUAAAGGACGAAGUGGCCCUCCACAUCUACUGAAGACCCAAUCAUGGAAACAUCAAAAGUCUCAACGACGCCGCGGCUCGUACAAGCGCCCCCCCCACCCCCCAGUUCGCCGAUACAGACGUCACCGCGCUGCGUCGGCGGCUCCACCUGUCCUCGAACAAAGCGCGCCGGCGCGGCGAGAGUGUAAUUCGGCGGGUCUGCACCAUUAGAGCGUAAUGAGUCAUGAAGGAGGCGCAUUGUUCACCGCUAACACUCUCAGGUGUGGAACAUCAUUAUCGCCCAGUGCCAAUUGAUGAAGAGUAUUAUGGCGCCAAAUUGAUUUUCCUUACGCUGCGAAACGCGGCGACACAAGAAAGCCGGAGAAAAGACGCAAUCAUCAACAACUUUACAUUCCAAUCAGCAUAUCUGAGUAGGAUGAAUGAAAAAAAAGAAUUGCACAGAAAAAUGAAGCCGGGGCUCAAAUCGCCUCAAAUUGCUUUGCUCUUUUUUUUUUCUAUCACGAAAUGUUACCGAUUAUCAUGAAACGCGUAAAUUGAAUUUUUUUUUUUUUCAUUUAAGUAAUAAUUGAUUUGACAUUUCGGAGCACUUCAAAGGCAGUUUGGCCUGAAGGCUGCGCAGUAAAUUACAGUAUAAAGCUGAGGAUUUACCAUUAGCUGAGUGUCAAGUGUACGCUCGCACCCCCUCCCCGUCUACCUCCCCCCCCCUUUCUCCCCUUUCCCGCUUUAUCUUCUCUCCCUCAAAACCCUGAAAUUGCAGUCAAAACUUAACUUGUCCUCACCGCCCGCUCUGUGUUUGUCCAUUUGUUGCCAGGUUUGCCCGUUUAUUGUAGCACAAUAAAGGCCGUGUGUGUUUAUCAGUAAACGAAGCUCCACACAGGUCGCCCGCCUCCAUUAUAACUCUUUCCCCUCCCUUGUUUAGUUUAUAUAUAUUUUCCUGAAGGAAAUGCCCUUCUUUUCGGUCUGUGUCUCCUAAUGCGGGGUGGUGGGGGGGUGGGGGGGCGUUUGAUAUGCAAAUAGUCCGCUCAACAAAAUCCAGGUGCUAUCUGCGCCCACAGAAGCUGAUACUUUGGUGGCGGGUGACUUCCUCGCCUUCUGAGACGCGCAGACACAGAAUCAAACGCACCGUCUGAGCUCAGACCAGCAUGUCUGCACGGCUGAUACGUUCCUGCUUAUUCAGAUUCAGAUCUGGUGCGGCCAGUGGCACGCCCCCCCCCCCCCUGAUAUGAUGAAUACAACGCACACAUCAAUCAAUAACACCGUAAAAGUCUGCAGAGGCACAGCGGGAUGAGAAGGUUGAUAUGAUCGAUACACCGAUAGGCAGAUGCGGUUCAUUUAAUAUGGAGACGCUUGCAAGGUCAUCGUAGGACCCGGGAUGGAAGAAGCACGCAGAUCUUUUACAUAAAGUACUAAUAAACAGUGUGAAAAUACACUAAUGUGUGAGAACAUCUUUUCUGGAUUACCUGAAAAAACGAAACAGAUCAAUAGAGGUUGUUUCAUCACAAUUCAGCAUCAGUUAGUACAGUUAUACAGUACGGUACAGUUAUUUGUGUUUAAUGUAAUAUUACACGCAGAAUGUACACUGUUUUAGGCUUUAAAUGUGAUUCAAAAUUCAAAUUUUACCAAUUAUCACUGUAAGGAAAAUAGAGCUUUCGGCAAAAAGGAGGCAAAAUUCAGCAAAAGAAAAGAUUUAAAAAUAAAGGGGGUCUGAGAUUUGGUUCGAGUCAGCCAGGAAGCUGCAGACAGAGAGCUUUUGGAAAGAGAUCCCUCGUGGAUCGACUGAGACGAAGGAGCGAUGAACUAGAAGAAGAGUUUCUCUUAUGGGAGAUUUUACCACGCGUAUUAUUUACUGAACAAACCGAGUCCUGUAUUUCAAAUGUUACCGGCGUCAAUUCACUUCCUUUCUUCCUUUCUUGUUAUUUCUUACAAUACCUAACAUGGGAAAACUUUAAGAAAUAAAGGUGACUUUUUAAAAACGCUUUAACCUGAUAUCCAACCACCGAGAUUUAAUUUUAAAAAAUCGUCUCUUUUUAAUUCCACAAUUAUCAAAAUUCUUCUGCUAAAUUGUGAAGGUCUCACCAACACGUUUGUGACACACAUUUAUUUUUAUAAACAUUUUAUUAGACUAAUAAUAAAUGUUUGAUUAGUCCAACUCUAGCUUGCAUGCAUGCGCAAAAGCCUUUACAUGCACACAAACGUGCCUCCACACACACACACACACCUAGUAAUUGUCACCUGAAACCCGAGUUAGCUGGAGGUGACACGUAUUGUCUUUCUGCCUUGAAUUAAUGUGCCUGUAAAUACGUUUUUUCCCCCUCAUUCCUAUUUGUUAAGUUAUUCAUAGAGCGGCUGAUUGCAGGCGGCCGUCACAGCUAAAUGAGGCCCUUUGUUAUUGUUGAGUAAUUAGGACAGCCGUCAUCGUGCUCCGAGAUGACAGGGUCAGUUAAAUAGUUUCUCUCUCUCUCUCUCUGUAGUCCGGGCUGAUUGUGGGAGCUCAGGCAGGCCUGGGAGGGAUGGAGGGGAGGAGGGAGGAGAUGGG
Gasterosteus aculeatus aculeatus (three-spined stickleback) is the source of this 6929-nucleotide long non-coding RNA. The record is from Ensembl. Lineage: Eukaryota; Metazoa; Chordata; Actinopteri; Perciformes; Gasterosteidae.